Molecule: ribosomal RNA, 604 nt
Filed under: uncultured Synechococcus sp.
Lineage: Bacteria; Bacillati; Cyanobacteriota; Cyanophyceae; Synechococcales; Synechococcaceae
Description: bacterial SSU rRNA
Rfam family: Bacterial small subunit ribosomal RNA
Source: RNAcentral
AAGUCGAACGAACCUUCGGGUUAGUGGCGGACGGGUGAGUAACGCGUGGGAAUCUGCCCUCAGGAGGGGGAUAACGGCUGGAAACGGCCGCUAAUACCCCAUAUGCCGAGAGGUGAAAUGAUUUUCGCCUGAGGAUGAGCCCGCGUCUGAUUAGCUAGUUGGUGAGGUAAGAGCUCACCAAGGCAUCGAUCAGUAGCUGGUCUGAGAGGAUGAUCAGCCACACUGGGACUGAGACACGGCCCAUACUCCUACGGGAGGCAGCCGUGGGGAAUUUUCCGCAAUGGGCGAAAGCCUGACGGAUCAACGCCGCGUGAGGGAUGAAGGCCUCUGGGCUGUAAACCUCUUUUCUCAAGGAAGAAGAUCUGACGGUACUUGAGGAAUAAUCCACGGCUAAUUCCGUGCCAGCAUCCGCGGUAAUACGGGAGUGGCAAGCGUUAUCCCGAAUUAUUGGGCGUAAAGCGUCCGCAGGCGGCCCUUCAAGGUCUGCUGUGUAGUACGUGGAGCUUAACUCCAUCAUGGCAUGGAAACUGUUGGGCUUGAGUGUUGUAGGGGCAGAGGGAAUUCCCGGUGUCCCGGUGAAAUGCGCAAAUAUCGGGAGAUACAU